UGGAGUGGUCGACCUCUCCAAGAUGGCCGCCCUAAAUCUCGUCAGCGACAAUAGAGAAGAGCGGCCGUGAGGCAUCUGUUCAUUAUUUUUCUUUAAAUGAAAAUUUAUUUAUUACCAUCAUAUACAACAGACAUGGUAUCAGAUGUUCUCACACCUGAAAAAGCUGAGCCAGGCUGCCUCCAUACAUACAGAAGAGACGAAAGAGCAAAAAUAAAAAGAACAAGCCAUUAGCGGUUUUCCAGCAGUUUCAAAUUGUUUAUCAUAUUAUACAGUUCUGCAUGUUGUUGUUUGUCCAUGCAUUUUAGAGAUAAGAAGAGGUGGCAGAGUUCCUUGUGAAAAGUGGGAAAAGAUGGUUUGGCUUUAAGAAAACAACAUUUGUGAAAGAAAAACUUGCAGAUAAUAAUUAUGACAUUUAGUCUUUAAAUGUCUUUUGUCUUCUCAGGAUGGCUCUACAUGUCUAGGCUCCCACAGGAAGCAGGGGGGCGGGCUCUUCCGCGUUUGACAUCAAGUUGCCAUGGUAACAGUCACUUUGUAAUUAAAUUAACAUUCAAAAAAAUAUUAGAAAAAACUGUUCUGAUAAAAAUGCGUUUGAGAUGUGUCAUUGCAACUGGAACCAGAACCAGAACCAUCAGGAACCAGAAGAGCUUCAGAUUAAACAACCAGAACCCAGCUGCCUGGACCUGCUGCUUCUGAAUAGAACCCAUCAGACAGAACCAGAACCUCCUCAUAAUAAUCAUUGUUUCUCAUCAGUCCAGAGACCUGUCUAGGCCCGGUCCAAACCCAGCAGAACCUCAGAGAUUCCGCUCACUGACCCAGAGCCUGGUUCUGAAAACGGGUCACUGAAGGUCUGAAGGAACCUCAGAGGAGACACCGGCCUCACAGAGCAGACACACACACACAGACACACACACACACACUCAGCUCGGAGGGUGAAAGGUUAUUGGCUGGCUGGCUGCAGCUCUCAGCCAAUCAGAGCUCAGGACUGGCUGCUGGGACUCUGUGCUGUUGCUGAGCAGAGAAUCAGCCUGACCUACAUCCAUCACACACAGCGCUGCUGCUCCAGGCUCAGAGGCACUGCGGCAGCCUCAGCACCAAACCCACCGAGCCGCUGCCACGAGGCGUUUACUGUCCUCCGGGAAAAACAGACGGCUACACACGCAGAGCCUUGAUCUGGAGCAGCAACGUUCCAACUGCAGAACCGGGCUCACAAUAACGUGGGCCCAAAAGAACCCAGCAGAACUGGCAUCCAUGACAGGAAAGCCUGGUUCUUCUGCACAGAACCAGAGCAACAUGUGAGGAACAGACGGUUCUGUCUGGGUCUGGGAACCAGAAACCCGUCCAGAAUUCUGCACCCAAACCACAGAACACUGAAGCACAGUGGUGAAGGUAUCGUACUAUGGGAUCACUAUAGAACUAAAGAUCAGUUCAAAACGAUUAACCCUGAAACAUUUUUCAGAUUUUAGAGCAGAUGUUUGUCAUCUACCAGUUUCAUGUUUGUCUUUAGAUAUUAUGUUUAGAUCUUGUUCUCUACUUUUGUUCCUGUUUGUUGUUUUAAAUAAAGUUAUAAUUGGGGAAAAAUACAGAGAGCAUGAGGAAAGGAAAAGAAACUGCUGUGUAAAAGGACUUCAAAAUAAGAGCAUGAAUAUAUUUCUCUAAAACUCAAUAUCCAAAACUGAAACACAGACGCCGAACUUUAUUCAGCUGAUAGUUAACAGACGUAAAUUUCAGAAUUUAUCUGGAAAAAUCAGGGCUAAGUGCUCAGAAACUUUUCAAUGCUAGCUACAAUGCUACAUCUGGUUCCUGCUUGGAACCAGAUGUGGUUCCAAGCAGAUCCACAAAGUCGGGUUUGGACCCAGACUCCACCAGAACCGGUGCAGUUCAACAGAACUAGAACCUUCUUCAGAGUCAAUCCUGGCAGACUCCAAGUGGACUUCCUCAGUUCUGUCACUAACCAGAACAUGGAUUAAAACCUGAAAAUCCAUUUGGACCUCCAGCUGGAAACAGAACUUCUCCUUGGAGUCAGGAUCAGUCUGUCAGGUCCAGAGGUUCUGGUCUCGUUUCCUCCAUUUGGUGCCUAGUAAAGUUGAAUAGGUAACGACCCAAACUGGACCAGUACCAAACGGGGAUCGGAUUGUCGGGGUGAGCGUUUCAUGGCUGCUUUGAGAACUGAAUAUUGAAAGUUACUUUCUCCAAUCUGCUGUAAGGAAACAAGGUUCUAUGAACCGAACUUCAGUUCUAUGACUGAAGUCUGUGUUCUGGUGGCCCGGACUCCACCAGAAUCACAUGUGCGCCAGCAGCAGGUUUCUGCUUUCUUCUUCGUGUAUUUGGGUUUAUGCUCGCAAACAUACCAGAACAUCCCAGGUCAGAGUUUCGAAACCGACGGACCGGAAUGACAAAAA
Poecilia latipinna (sailfin molly) is the source of this 2399-nucleotide long non-coding RNA. RefSeq lists it as uncharacterized. The transcript is spliced from 2 exons. NCBI's taxonomy places the organism in Eukaryota, Metazoa, Chordata, Actinopteri, Cyprinodontiformes, Poeciliidae. The record is from RefSeq and is a predicted model, not a curated record.